GGGUUGGUAGCUCAAUGGUAGAGCAGUUGCCUUUUAAGCAAUUGGUUCUGGGUUCGAAUCCCAGCCAGCCCACCA
RNAcentral lists this transfer RNA (75 nucleotides) under Opitutaceae bacterium. Its description in RNAcentral is "tRNA-Lys". It matches the Rfam family "tRNA". From Rfam's summary of the family: Transfer RNA (tRNA) molecules are approximately 80 nucleotides in length. RNAcentral also lists the same sequence under 1 other name. The record is from RNAcentral. Lineage: Bacteria; Pseudomonadati; Verrucomicrobiota; Opitutia; Opitutales; Opitutaceae.